Long non-coding RNA from Lolium rigidum, 273 nucleotides. RefSeq lists it as uncharacterized. The record is from RefSeq and is a predicted model, not a curated record. The transcript has 2 exons. NCBI's taxonomy places the organism in Eukaryota, Viridiplantae, Streptophyta, Magnoliopsida, Poales, Poaceae.
UUGAUCAAUGUUCUUCUUACAAUUCCAAUAUGGGUUCUUGUGACACGUAUGCAGGUUGAUCUUGAUGAAAACAUUUGGAAGGAUAUGAACAACGAAUGAUCCCACCAACUGCUUUUAGAACUGGCAUUUGAGAGCAGCAUAAAUUUUUUUUUGCCACCGAAUAGAAUAUUCCAUGAGAUCGAACUGAUGAUCCGUUGUUUUGUUUUUUUAUUACCAUGUAACGUUUCAUAAACAUUCUUGUAUAUUUAUUGCAAAGAUAUGAUUUUUAUUUGA